AGUGAACGCUGGCGGUAGGCCUAACACAUGCAAGUCGAACGGCAGCACAGUAAGAGCUUGCUCUUACGGGUGGCGAGUGGCGGACGGGUGAGGAAUACAUCGGAAUCUACUUUUUCGUGGGGGAUAACGUAGGGAAACUUACGCUAAUACCGCAUACGACCUACGGGUGAAAGCAGGGGAUCUUCGGACCUUGCGCGAUUGAAUGAGCCAAUGUCGGAUUAGCUAGUUGGCGGGGUAAAGGCCCACCAAGGCGACGAUCCGUAGCCGGUCUGAGAGGAUGAUCAGCCACACUGGAACUGAGACACGGUCCAGACUCCUACGGGAGGCAGCAGUGGGGAAUAUUGGACAAUGGGCGCAAGCCUGAUCCAGCCAUACCGCGUGGGUGAAGAAGGCCUUCGGGUUGUAAAGCCCUUUUGUUGGGAAAGAAAAGCAGCAGGUUAAUACCCCGCUGUUCUGACGGUACCCAAAGAAUAAGCACCGGCUAACUUCGUG
This 492-nucleotide ribosomal RNA is filed under the name uncultured bacterium. RNAcentral describes it as "partial 16S ribosomal RNA". It matches the Rfam family "Bacterial small subunit ribosomal RNA", at positions 29 to 507 of the family's 1533-position model. The record is from RNAcentral.